This 78-nucleotide transfer RNA is filed under the name Lentisphaerae bacterium ADurb.Bin242. RNAcentral describes it as "tRNA-Pro". It matches the Rfam family "tRNA". Rfam says of the family: Transfer RNA (tRNA) molecules are approximately 80 nucleotides in length. Lineage: Bacteria; Pseudomonadati; Lentisphaerota. The record is from RNAcentral. RNAcentral also lists the same sequence under 3 other names.
CGGGGCGUAGCUCAGUCUGGUUGGAGCGCUACGUUCGGGACGUAGAGGUCGCUGGUUCGAAUCCAGUCGCCCCGACCA